Long non-coding RNA from Mauremys reevesii (Reeves's turtle), 1893 nucleotides. RefSeq lists it as uncharacterized. The record is from RefSeq and is a predicted model, not a curated record. NCBI's taxonomy places the organism in Eukaryota, Metazoa, Chordata, Testudines, Geoemydidae. The transcript has 3 exons.
CCUGGGGGGGGUGUGGGUGUAAAAAACUGACCGUGCGGCGCCGGUUGGUGGAACCUGGGCGCUGGGGAAGGGAGCGGGGACCCGGCAGCCCCGGGCGCUCCGCAAGUGGUGAGCAAUUUGGCCUGCUGAUAGGAUGUUACCUCUUUUUUCCUGCUGCCACCUUGGAUGACUUGUCCAGAGUCUUUACAAGUUUGUAUGAUUAGGGUCAAGGUGCUGUUUAUUAAAUUGUUGAGGAUUUCACUUCAGAUCUUCAUGGAAAGCCUUCCAGAAUGUCUGGAUGUUCUGGGAUAAGACUCACUGGUAGAGCUGAGGACACAGCUAAUCUAGGGCAUGUCUUCGCUAGGGUUUUAUAACACAUGUAACCCCAGCCCUGAUGCGUGGCCUAAGACUUCUCCCUGUUGCUUGCUUCUUGGAGUGGCUUCUCACCUCAAGGGUAUGGGGCCUGUGAGCUCAUCUGCCAGCCCCAUAGGCAGCUUGGCUGUGGCUCCACCCCCAGCCUCUCUCCCCAGACCCUGGACCUGCUUCUGGCGCUAGACCCUGCCCUCCAGCAGCAGCCCUGGCCUUGGCCCCCUUACCCUGUAUGCGUCACCUCUCCCUGCCACCCCUCCUCAACCAACAGAAAGGGCUACCUUUAUAUGGUUGUGCAAGCAUUGGUGGGUCAUCAAAAAUGCUUCACCAAUGUCAGUGUUGGCUGGUUAGGGAAGAUACGUGAUGCUUGCAUUGUUAAGAACACAAGACUGUUGAAAGUUACAAUCAGAGACUUUCUUGACUGGCAGAUUACUAUUGGCAAUGUUGAAAUGUGAGUAGCGAUACUGGGAGGACCCAACCUACCCCUUGCGCCAUUGGCUCAUGAAGGCAUCCACCUCAACAGCACCCAGGAAAGAUUCAGCUACCAGCUCAGCAUGUGCAGAAUGACAGUUGGGUGCAUAGGCGGCAGGUUUUAAGUUUGAAGAACUCCAAGAACAAUACAAUAAAGAAGUUGAAGAAAGAAAAAAGCUGAGAAAUAUCCAGAUUAAAGUAUGGGGCUAGAGUAUCUCAGCAUUAGAAUCUCAUUUAAUGUGUGACAUGGAGAAAGGUGCAGUUCUUCAAAAUUAGCCAUAUGAUUUUUCAGGGAAAGUGGUAACAUUAAAUGUGCUCAUUGUUCAUACCAUUGAGAUUAAAGUGUAGAUUUAAGAAGAGUAAGCAGGGGGUAUGGUUAAUUUCCUGACAGCAUUUUUGAAAAGUUAGUACUAAUUAGAAUACACAAAAAGGACUUUUUAAACAUAUUGUUUUCAUGUAAAUAAUCACACGACUGAGAAUUUCUCAAUACUUAGUUAUCACGAGGGAUAGAAUUUAUAUGGAAUGUAUAUGUUUUUGCAUUUAAAAUCUGAAAAUGAUCUCUUAUGUUUUCUGUUUUAAAAGCAAAACAAACAAAAAACCUAACCUACUCAACUUGGGCACAGUUGUUUUACCACCUUAAGAAUAUUUAUACUACUUCAACAUGCUUACAUCCUUUUUUUAGGAAACGUGUACUGAAAACCUACAAACAAAAUUAAUGAAAUACGUGUACAAUCACUUUCUAGUAAAUUUAGAAGUUGAUUUACACGAUAAACUCAGUGUAAAUAUCCAGGAAUAUUCCCAUUACUGUUUUUCAGUAGGUGCUUCCUUUGUAGCACUUUUAAAGACUGAUAGCGCUCUGUAGCGAGGCGAAGACUCACCGCUGUGGCACCUCCUGCUGUUCGUCUCUUUCCAGCCUUUGGAGCGCUCUCUGCCGGCGGAUGUCUCGCCAGCCUCAGGCCCCAUGUCCCUCCCAGACCCCGGUGCCCUUUUCCUCAGGGUUCUGCCCCAGCAAUACCCCCACUCUCUCUGGGUCUCCCCUCCCAGGGGAGCUCCCAACCCUCUAAAACCACCUUG